Molecule: ribosomal RNA, 444 nt
Filed under: uncultured bacterium
Lineage: Bacteria
Description: partial 16S ribosomal RNA
Rfam family: Bacterial small subunit ribosomal RNA
Source: RNAcentral
GUGAGGAAUAUUGGUCAAUGGGCGAGAGCCUGAACCAGCCAAGUCGCGUGAAGGAAGAAGGAUCUAUGGUUCGUAAACUUCUUUUGCAGGGGAAUAAAGUGCGGGACGUGUCCUGUUUUGUAUGUACCUGAGAAUAAGGAUCGGCUAACUCCGUGCCAGCAGCCGCGGUAAUACGGAGGAUCCGAGCGUUAUCCGGAUUUAUUGGGUUUAAAGGGUGCGUAGGUGGUUUGAUAAGUCAGCGGUGAAAGUUUGCAGCUUAACUGUAAAAAGGCCGUUGAAACUGUCGGACUUGAGUGUAAAUGAGGUAGGCGGAAUGCGUGGUAUAGCGGUGAAAUGCAUAGAUAUCACGCAGAACUCCGAUUGCGAAGGCAGCUUACUAAGCUACAACUGACACUGAAGCACGAAAGCGUGGGGAUCAAACAGGAUUAGAAACCCGUGUAGUCC